Cryptotermes secundus is the source of this 383-nucleotide long non-coding RNA. RefSeq lists it as uncharacterized. NCBI's taxonomy places the organism in Eukaryota, Metazoa, Arthropoda, Insecta, Blattodea, Kalotermitidae. The record is from RefSeq and is a predicted model, not a curated record. The transcript has 3 exons.
CGCCAUCUUAGUCGAUGUACCAGCAAGCCAGCGAGGCCACCGUAAGCAAUAUUGCUCUUGCGAGAGCUCUCCACCAGUAAUAACCCAUGUAGUUUAGUCUGGCAAAGGAAAAUCUGAUACUGAGUCUGCCCUCAAACUGCAGAAGAAAAAUGAAGUUGAGAUCGGUAAUUUUCUUCAUUCACGAUUUUCAGCAACUCAUACUGCUGAACACAUUUCAUUGCAAAUGAGAGGAAAUUUAUUCAGAAUGGUGAUUAAUGAAAAUAUAAAGGUGUGCAUCAUAUCUGACGAAUCAACCAUGUUCCAGCUUACCCAAUACAACACAGGGUUUUUGAGGAUGGAAAAUGUCAAGGAUCUUGGCUUUGGAAAUCUGCGUUUGACACCAA